AGAACGAACGCUGGCGGCAUGCCUAACACAUGCAAGUCGAACGCUCUCUUCGGAGGGAGUGGCGCACGGGUGAGUAACGCGUGGGAACCUGCCUUGGAGUGGGGGAUAACCGAUGGAAACGUCGGCUAAUACCGCAUACGUCCUGAGGGAGAAAGAUUUAUCGCUCUGAGAGGGGCCCGCGUCGGAUUAGCUAGUUGGUGGGGUAACGGCCUACCAAGGCGAUGAUCCGUAGCUGGUCUGAGAGGAUGAUCAGCCACACUGGGACUGAGACACGGCCCAGACUCCUACGGGAGGCAGCAGUGGGAAUAUUGGACAAUGGGCGCAAGCCUGAUCCAGCAAUGCCGCGUGAGUGAUGACGGCCUUAGGGUUGUAAAGCUCUUUCGGCGGGGACGAUGAUGACGGUACCCGCAGAAGAAGCCCCGGCUAACUUCGCGCCAGCAGCCGC
This 445-nucleotide ribosomal RNA is filed under the name uncultured bacterium. RNAcentral's name for it is "SSU rRNA". It matches the Rfam family "Bacterial small subunit ribosomal RNA", at positions 26 to 518 of the family's 1533-position model. The record is from RNAcentral.